This 406-nucleotide ribosomal RNA is filed under the name uncultured bacterium. RNAcentral describes it as "partial 16S ribosomal RNA". It matches the Rfam family "Bacterial small subunit ribosomal RNA", at positions 30 to 526 of the family's 1533-position model. The record is from RNAcentral.
AUUGAACGCUGGCGGCAGGCCUAACACAUGCAAGUCGAACGAGUGGCGGACGGGUGAGUAAUGUCUGGGAAACUGCCCGAUGGAGGGGGAUAACUACUGGAAACGGUAGCUAAUACCGCAUACCAUCGGAUGUGCCCAGAUGGGGUUAGCUAGUAGGUGGGGUAACGGCUCACCUAGGCGACGAUCCCUAGCUGGUCUGGGAGGAUGACCAGACACACUGGAACGUAGACCCGGGCCAAACUCCUACGGGAGGCAGCAGUGGGGAAUAUUGCACAAUGGGCGCAAGCCUGAUACAGCCAUGCCGCGGGUAUGAAGAAGGCCUUCGGGUUGUAAAGUACUUUCAGCGAGGAGGCGUUACUCGCAGAAUAAGCACCGGCUAACUCCGUGCCAGCAGCCGCGGUAAUAC